This 590-nucleotide ribosomal RNA is filed under the name Trochus sp. STW-2009. Its description in RNAcentral is "partial 16S ribosomal RNA". It matches the Rfam family "Bacterial large subunit ribosomal RNA", at positions 1818 to 2597 of the family's 2925-position model. Lineage: Eukaryota; Metazoa; Mollusca; Gastropoda; Trochida; Trochidae. The record is from RNAcentral.
GCUCCUCGAUAGAUGAAGUAUAUGGGGAGUCGGACCUGCCCGGUGACUGGAAUGUUAAACGGCCGCGGUACCCUAACUGUGCAAAGGUAGCAUAAUCAUUUGCCUUUUAAUUGGAGGCUGGUAUGAAUGGUUUGACGAGAGCCAAGCUGUCUCUUUUAAAAUAUUUAGAAAUUAACUUUUAGGUGAAGAGGCCUAAAUUUAGCUGAGGGACAAGAAGACCCUGUUGAGCUUUAGUGGAACAGUAGAAUAGUAAGAAAGGGUGUUGUGGAUUUAUAAUGAAGCUACAUACGGUUUUGGUUACGUUUUGGUAAUAGUUUUGUUUUUCUGUGAAUCUUUAGUUGGGGCGACUGAGGAAUAAUUAAAGCUUCCUUUGAAAGUUGUAUAGUAGCUGCUGUUAGUGAAUGGAUGUUGGCGAAUUAAAGUUAGAUCCAGUAUGUAUUGAUUAAAGGAAAUAGUUACCACAGGGAUAACAGCGUAAUCUUUCUGGAGAGAUCAUAUCGAAAGGAGGGUUUGCGACCUCGAUGUUGGACUAAGAUAUCCGAAGGGUGUAGAAGCUCUUGAUGGUUGGUCUGUUCGACCAUUAAAAUCUU